GACGAACGCUGGCGGCGUGCUUAACACAUGCAAGUCGAACGGAAAGGCCCUGCUUUUGUGGGGUGCUCGAGUGGCGAACGGGUGAGUAACACGUGAGUAACCUGCCCUUGACUUUGGGAUAACUUCAGGAAACUGGGGCUAAUACCGGAUAGGAGCUCCUGCUGCAUGGUGGGGGUUGGAAAGUUUCGGCGGUUGGGGAUGGACUCGCGGCUUAUCAGCUUGUUGGGGGGGUAGUGGCUUACCAAGGCUUUGACGGGUAGCCGGCCUGAGAGGGUGACCGGCCACAUUGGGACUGAGAGACGGCCCAGACUCCUACGGGAGGCAGCGGGGGAGAAUAUUGCACAAUGGGCGGAAGCCUGAUGCAGCAACGCCGCGUGCGGGAUGACGGCCUUCGGGUUGUAAACCGCUUUCGCCUGUGACGAAGCGUGAGUGACGGUAAUGGGUAAAGAAGCACCGGCUAACUACGUG
Molecule: ribosomal RNA, 468 nt
Filed under: uncultured bacterium
Lineage: Bacteria
Description: partial 16S ribosomal RNA
Rfam family: Bacterial small subunit ribosomal RNA
Source: RNAcentral